Molecule: ribosomal RNA, 267 nt
Filed under: uncultured Clostridiaceae bacterium
Lineage: Bacteria; Bacillati; Bacillota; Clostridia; Eubacteriales; Clostridiaceae
Description: partial 16S ribosomal RNA
Rfam family: Bacterial small subunit ribosomal RNA
Source: RNAcentral
CGUCCGAUUAGGUAGUUGGUGAGGUAACGGCUCACCAAGCCCGCGAUCGGUAGCCGGACUGAGAGGUCGAUCGGCCACAUUGGGACUGAGACACGGCCCAGACUCCUACGGGAGGCAGCAGUGGGGGAUAUUGCACAAUGGAGGAAACUCUGAUGCAGCGACGCCGCGUGAGGGAAGAAGGUCUUCGGAUUGUAAACCUCUGUCUUUGGGGACGAGAAAGUGACGGUACCCAAAGAGGAAGCCACGGCUAACUACGUGCCAGCAGCC